RNAcentral lists this ribosomal RNA (301 nucleotides) under uncultured bacterium. RNAcentral describes it as "partial 16S ribosomal RNA". It matches the Rfam family "Bacterial small subunit ribosomal RNA", at positions 509 to 807 of the family's 1533-position model. The record is from RNAcentral.
CAGCCGCCACGGUAAUACGGAGGGUGCAAGCGUUAAUCGGAAUUACUGGGCGUAAAGCGUGCGUAGGCGGUUUGUUAAGUCUGCUGUGAAAUCCCCGGGCUCAACCUGGGAAUGGCAGUGGAUACUGGCAGGCUAGAGUGUGUCAGAGGAUGGUGGAAUUCCCGGCGUAGCGGUGAAAUGCGUAGAGAUCGGGAGGAACAUCAGUGGCGAAGGCGGCCAUCUGGGACAACACUGACGCUGAGGCACGAAAGCGUUGGGAGCAAACAGGAUUAGAUACCCGCGUAGUCCCUGUCUCUUAUAC